Molecule: ribosomal RNA, 1602 nt
Filed under: Triticum aestivum (bread wheat)
Lineage: Eukaryota; Viridiplantae; Streptophyta; Magnoliopsida; Poales; Poaceae
Description: partial small subunit ribosomal RNA
Source: RNAcentral
AUGGCACGGCAGCAGCUGCAGGUGCUUCACGCGCUGGACGUGGCGAGGACGCAGAGGUACCACGCGUGGGCGGUGGUGAUCGCCGGCAUGGGCUUCUUCGCCGACGCCUACGACAUCUUCUGCAUCACCCUAGUCACCAAGCUCCUCGGACGCAUCUAUUACCAAGUCCCGGGCCAACGAGAGCCCGGGAUGCUCCCCCGGCGGAUCGAGGCGGCCAUCAACGGCGUCACCUUCUGCGGCAUGAUCGUGGGCCAGCUCUUGUUUGGCUGGCUCGGCGACAAGGUCGGCCGGAAGAUGUUCUACGGCAAGACCAUCAUGCUCAUGAUCAUGGGCUCCUUCCUCUCCGGCUUGUCGUUCGGGAACACGGCCGACGGCGUUAUGGCCACGCUCUGCUUCUUCCGCUUCUGGCUCGGCGUCGGCAUCGGCGGAGACUAUCCGCUCUCCGCGACCAUCAUUUCCGAGUACUCCAACAAGAGGACGCGCGGGAGCCUCAUCGCGGCCGUGUUUGCCAUGGAAGGGUUUGGCAUCCUUGCAGGUUGCAUUGUCACCUUGGUCGUCUCCGCCACGUUCCAGGCGCGCUUCAACCCUCCGGCGUACGCAGAAGACCACAUGGCCUCGGUCCCGCCGCAGGCUGACUACGUGUGGCGCAUCAUCCUCAUGGUGGGCGCCAUCCCAGCCGUCUUCACCUACCGCUGGAGGGUGAUGAUGCCGGAGACGGCGCGCUAUACGGCGCUGGUCGCGCGCGACGCCGAGAAGGCCGCGCGCGACAUGUCCAAGGUGCUCAAGGUGGAAUUCAGCGGCGAGCAGGACAAGAUCGAGGGCUUCACCAAGGACAGGGACUACGGCGUCUUCUCCCGCCGUUUCGCCCGCCGCCACGGCUGGCAUCUCGUCGGCGCCGUUGCGUCCUGGUUCGUGCUCGACAUCGUCUUCUACUCCCAGAUCAUUCUCCAGGAGGAGAUCUUCAGGGACAUCAAGUGGAUCCCCGAGGCAAACAGCAUGAGCGCGCUCGAGGAAGCGUACCGCGUCGCCCGUGCGCAGGCGAUCAUCGCGCUCUGCGGCACACUACCUGGCUACUGGUUCACCAUCGCCUUUGUGGACGUCGUCGGGCGGAAGGCCAUCCAGUUCCUCGGCUUCACCAUGAUGAAGGGUCUCAUGCUCGUCGUGGCCGGCUUCUACCACCAACUGACGCAGCCUGGCCGGCGAAUCUGGCUGGUGGUCAUGUACGCCUUCACCUUCUUCUUUGCCAACUUCGGGCCCAACAGCAUCACCUUCAUCAUACCGGCCGAGAUUUUUCCGGCGCACGUCCGGACGACUUGCCACGGGAUAUCAUCAGCGGCAGGCAAGGUCGGCGCCAUUGUCGGGACGUUUGGCUUCCUGUACGCCUCGCAGAGGGCGGACGGCAGCAAUGAGACGGAGACCGGGUACCCGUCGGGUAUCGGCGUGCGUGCCUCACUGUUCGUGCUGGCCGCGUGCAAUGUGUUGGGAAUAAUUUUCACCUGUCUCCUGCCUGAGCCGAACGGGAGGUCGCUGGAGGAGGUGUCCGGCGAGCCCAUCAACGGAGAGGACGCAGAUUUGGGUGAUUCCAAGGUUCUUCCCUUGUAG